CCUACGGGAGGCAGCAGUAGGGAAUCUUCGGCAAUGGACGGAAGUCUGACCGAGCAACGCCGCGUGAGUGAAGAAGGUUUUCGGAUCGUAAAGCUCUGUUGUAAGAGAAGAACGAGUGUGAGAGUGGAAAGUUCACACUGUGACGGUAUCUUACCAGAAAGGGACGGCUAACUACGUGCCAGCAGCCGCGGUAACACGUAGGUGGCAAGCGUUGUCCGGAUUUAUUGGGCGUAAAGCGAGCGCAGGCGGUUCCUUAAGUCUGAUGUGAAAGCCCCCGGCUCAACCGGGGAGGGUCAUUGGAAACUGGGGAACUUGAGUGCAGAAGAGGAGAGUGGAAUUCCAUGUGUAGCGGUGAAAUGCGUAGAUAUAUGGAGGAACACCGGUGGCGAAAGCGGCUCUCUGGUCUGUAACUGACGCUGAGGCUCGAAAGCGUGGGGAGCAAACAGGAUUAGAUAUCCUGGUAGUCCACGCCGUAAACGAUGAGUGCUAGGUGUUGGGUCCUUUCCGGGACUCAGUGCCGCAGCUAACGCAUUAAGCACUCCGCCUGGGGAGUACGACCGCAAGGUUGAAACUCAAAGGAAUUGACGG
Molecule: ribosomal RNA, 588 nt
Filed under: uncultured bacterium
Lineage: Bacteria
Description: bacterial SSU rRNA
Rfam family: Bacterial small subunit ribosomal RNA
Source: RNAcentral